RNAcentral lists this ribosomal RNA (118 nucleotides) under Pogona vitticeps (central bearded dragon). Lineage: Eukaryota; Metazoa; Chordata; Lepidosauria; Squamata; Agamidae. The record is from RNAcentral.
CCUUGAACUCUUACCAUCCUGAACGUGCCAGUCUCGAGUGCUUCUGGAAGCUAAGCAGGACCAGUCUUGGUCAGAACUUGGAUGGGAGACCAGCAAGACGUACCAGGGGUCUCCAUAA